GACGAACGCUGGCGGCGUGCUUAACACAUGCAAGUCGAACGGUAAGGCCUUGUUUUUGUGGUGUGUUCGUGUGUCGCGCGCGUGUGUAACAUGUGUGUAACCUCCCCUUUUCUUUCUGAUAUCUUCAUGAAACUCUGGCUAUUAUCGUAUAUGCGCUCCUUCUCCGCGUUGUGGUUUGUAGAGUUUCGGUGGCUGGGGAUGGACUCGCGGAUUAUCUGCUUGCUGGUGGGGUGGUGGCUUACCAAGGCGUUGACGGGUAGCCGGCCUGAGAGGGUGACCGGCCACACUGGGACUGAGAUACGGCCCAGACUCCUACGGGAGGCAGCAGUGGGGAAUGUUGCACAAUGGGCGGAAGCCUGAUGCAGCAACGCCGCGUGAGGGAUGACGGCCUUCGGGUUGUAAACCGCUUUCGGCAGGGAAGAAGCGAGAGUGACGGUAAUGGGAGAAGAAGCACCGGCUAACUACGUG
Molecule: ribosomal RNA, 468 nt
Filed under: uncultured bacterium
Lineage: Bacteria
Description: partial 16S ribosomal RNA
Rfam family: Bacterial small subunit ribosomal RNA
Source: RNAcentral